This 428-nucleotide ribosomal RNA is filed under the name uncultured prokaryote. RNAcentral describes it as "bacterial SSU rRNA". It matches the Rfam family "Bacterial small subunit ribosomal RNA", at positions 355 to 774 of the family's 1533-position model. The record is from RNAcentral.
UGGGGAAUAUUGCGCAAUGGGGACAACCCUGACGCAGCGACGCCGCGUGAGUGAGGAAGGCCUUCGGGUCGUAAAGCUCUGUCAAAGGGAAAGAAAUGUAUAAUGGCUAAUACCUGUUAUAUUUGAUGGUACCCUUAAAGGAAGCACCGGCUAACUCCGUGCCAGCAGCCGCGGUAAUACGGAGGGUGCAAGCGUUGUUCGGAAUCACUGGGCGUAAAGGGCGCGCAGGCGGUUUGGUAAGUCAGAUGUGAAAGCCCACGGCUUAACCGUGGAAGUGCAUUUGAAACUGCCAGACUUGAGUACCAGAGGGGAAAGUGGAAUUCCCGGUGUAGAGGUGAAAUUCGUAGAUAUCGGGAGGAAUACCGGUGGCGAAGGCGACUUUCUGGCUGGAUACUGACGCUGAGGCGCGAAAGCGUGGGGAGCAAACA